This 65-nucleotide transfer RNA is filed under the name Limnoria quadripunctata. RNAcentral's name for it is "tRNA-Lys". The record is from RNAcentral. Lineage: Eukaryota; Metazoa; Arthropoda; Malacostraca; Isopoda; Limnoriidae.
GUGUUAGUGGCUGAAACAUAAGCAAGAGUCUUUUAAUCUCUAAAUGAUUGUAAAAUCCUACCUUA